Non-coding RNA from Russula emetica, 71 nucleotides. The record is from the annotation of a GenBank genome assembly. NCBI's taxonomy places the organism in Eukaryota, Fungi, Basidiomycota, Agaricomycetes, Russulales, Russulaceae.
GGCCAGGUAGCUCAGUGGAAGAGCACCUGGGAUUAUGCCAGGAGGCCUGGGUUCGAACCCCAGUCCGGCCA